Molecule: long non-coding RNA, 1321 nt
Organism: Gorilla gorilla gorilla (western lowland gorilla)
Lineage: Eukaryota; Metazoa; Chordata; Mammalia; Primates; Hominidae
Exons: 3
Source: RefSeq, a predicted model, not a curated record
AGAUCGGGUUUUCCCAGGGCAUGGAAAGGACAGGGCUCCCAGUGGAGAUAUCAUGUAGCUAUAGGGCCUAGAAGUAUUUUUUCAGUAGAUGAAAUUUAGAAAUAAUUUGAAUAUUUUAUGCUGGGGAGGUAGCUUGUGGAGUGAAAUGGUGGGGGAAAGGAAACACUGAGUUCAAGUGCUUCUAAAGGACACUUAACUGAUCUAAAUAUUUGUCAAGCUGAAUCGCUACAUCCACUCUCACCUGCCUGAAAUCAAUAUGCUCAAGUCAAACGCAUUUGCCUGCAUCUGAAUGUGGAGAAUGAACUUCUUAAAGCUGAACUGGCAGCUGGAAGUGGAGAGAGAAGAGCUGGACAGGGAGCCAGGACACCGGAGUUCUUUUCCACUGUGGUGGGAUCUGGAAGAAGCUGUUGAAUCUCUGUAGAGUUAUCUUUUAAAUGCUGUGAGUCUUUGGAAAGCUGUGUGAAUAACUGCUAAACACCCAGGACAGCUUAUGCAUUUUUUGAAAAAGACCCCAUGAUUACCCUGCAAACAAGCUCACACUAUUGGAUGACAGAGACAUACGGCCCAGUCAUCCUGUCACCAUCACUGUUUGUCAAACAGCUGCCUGACAUAUGAGUAAAGUCUUCCUAGACCAAGCAGCCCUCAGCCAUCCUGCCAGCUGACCACAGAUGCACGAGCAAGUCAAGCCAAAAUCACCCAACCUGGCACAAGUCAAUAGGCUGGCUCCUGGUGCUGGUUCCAGCAGAAUAGACACAGAGAUGCAUGGCCUAACUCCCACCCCCUCUUCAGGACUGAGCCAUGCAGCCCCCCAUCUACCAGAAGUGUUAGCUGUUGACGGCUCACAGCUGAGUCCCUCCCCAGGCAUUGCUGAAAAGGGCCACCUUGCUCUAGGAUGUGCCCCCACCCUGGGGGCAGCAUACAUUCCAAGUGAUUAGUCCAUAGUGUGGUACAAAGGUUGUACCCAUCUUGCCUGAAUUCAGGAUCUCUUGGAAAACCACCCCAGCUCUGCAGCUCCUGGUGGGGUGCUGAGGCCUCUGCUACAGCUGCAUUGCAGUUUACUUUCCCCUCUGCCUAGUCCUGCUGCCUUCACUCCCCAACAGGUAUUGUUCCCCAGAGAACUCCCUGCCCCCAGUCACCUGUAAGCAAAUCUCCACUGCAGUCUGUGGCCUGGGAAACCUGCUCUAGGAUCCCAAAGUGAACACAGCUUCCCAUUGAAAUGUGUCUUUGGGUGUUAAUCUGUCCUGCCAUCUUUACAUCUAAUCAAGAGGUAGAGCUUCCCCUGGUGUUUCUGCUGGGUACAUAAAGGAUCUUUUCCAUUGUC